CCUUAAAGAAGAGGCAAUCGCAGAAAGAAAAUGGGUGAAGUUUGAACAGACGACCUAUGUUGAUCCCUCAGGUAAAACCAGCUCUUCUAAAUACAUUGACCUGCUGACUUAAUUUCACCUCUGUGCUUCAGUUUCCCCAUCUGGAAAAUGGGGAUAAUGAUACUUGUCUUCCUUUGUAAAGUGCUUUAAGAUCUAUGGAUGCAGAAUGCUAUAUAAGAACUAAAUAUUAUUAGGGCUGUAAAUUAAUCUCAGUUAACUCAUGCUAUUAACUCAAAAAAAUC
This is a non-coding RNA of Chelonoidis abingdonii (Abingdon island giant tortoise), 281 nucleotides long. The record is from RefSeq and is a predicted model, not a curated record. Lineage: Eukaryota; Metazoa; Chordata; Testudines; Testudinidae.